Molecule: ribosomal RNA, 253 nt
Filed under: uncultured bacterium
Lineage: Bacteria
Description: partial 16S ribosomal RNA
Rfam family: Bacterial small subunit ribosomal RNA
Source: RNAcentral
GACGUAGGGCGCGAGCGUUGUCCGGAUUUAUUGGGCGUAAAGAGCUCGUAAGUGGUUUGUCGCGUUGUUCGUGAAAACUCACAGCUUAACUGUGGGCGUGCGGGCGAUACGGGCAGACUGGAGUACUGCAGGGGAGACUGGAAUUCCUGGUGUAGCGGUGGAAUGCGCAGAUAUCAGGAGGAACACCGGUGGCGAAGGCGGGUCUCUGGGCAGUAACUGACGCUGAGGAGCGAAAGCGUGGGGAGCGAACAGG